Molecule: ribosomal RNA, 451 nt
Filed under: uncultured bacterium
Lineage: Bacteria
Description: partial 16S ribosomal RNA
Rfam family: Bacterial small subunit ribosomal RNA
Source: RNAcentral
GGCUAACGCUGGCGGCGCGCCUAACACAUGCAAGUCGAACGAAACCUUCGGGGUGAGUGGCAGACGGGUGAGGAACGCGUGGAAAAUGUGCCCCUUUGCUGGGGAUAUCGUUUCGAAAGGGAAGGUAAUAACGAAAGUGCUUGGUUGGCGGGCUCCGCGAGCAAGUAAACUGUUAGGGGGAAGAGAGCAGUCCGCGGUCUAUCAGCUAGUUGGUGAGGUAACGGCUCACCAAGGCUACGACGGAUAACUGGUCUGAGAGGAUGAUCAGUCACACUGGAACUGAGACACGGUCCAGACUCCUACGGGAGGCAGCAGUGAGGAAUCUUGCACAAUGGGCGAAAGCCUGAUGCAGCGACGCCGCGUGAGGGAUGAAGGCCUUCGGGUUGUAAACCUCUGUCAGUAGGGAAGAAGAAUGACGGUACCUACUGAGGAAGCUUCGGCUAACUACGUG